This 165-nucleotide ribosomal RNA is filed under the name Metschnikowia lunata. RNAcentral describes it as "partial 18S rRNA". It matches the Rfam family "Eukaryotic small subunit ribosomal RNA", at positions 1484 to 1653 of the family's 1831-position model. The record is from RNAcentral. Lineage: Eukaryota; Fungi; Ascomycota; Pichiomycetes; Serinales; Metschnikowiaceae.
GGGCCGCACGCGCGCUACACUGACGGAGCGAGCGAGUACCUUAGCCGAGAGGUUUGGGAAAUCUUGAGAAACUCCGUCGUGCUGGGGAUAGAGCAUUGUAAUUGUUGCUCUUCAACGAGGAAUUCCUAGUAAGCGCAAGUCAUCAGCUUGCGUUGAUUACGUCCC